This 3050-nucleotide long non-coding RNA is filed under the name Sus scrofa (pig). RNAcentral describes it as "lncRNA (ENSSSCG00000052022.1)". Lineage: Eukaryota; Metazoa; Chordata; Mammalia; Artiodactyla; Suidae. The record is from RNAcentral.
UUUUUUUUUGGUAUCCAAAGGGUAUGAGUUAAAGAGAGGUAGAUUGGGAGCUUUUUCAUAGACUGACUUGCAAACGUGGAAUAGACUGCCUUUAGCUUCCUGACCUUGAAGAUGUUUUAAUCAUAGGCUAAGUGACUACCUGCUGCAGUGCUGUAGGAUGCCUCCUGUGUGCAGAAUAAGGUUAGACUAAUGACUUCUGGGGUCCUUUCCCAUGCUGAGAUCUAAUGGUCUUUCAGUGCCUUCCCUUCUCUACUAGUUGUCCCUACUGCUCAAGGUCUGGAGGAGCAUUUGAGGAAAAGGACCUUCAGACUUCCAGCACUGAGAGAUUUCUUUGUUAAAGGCAAAACAACUCUGGAAGCCUUGGCUGUGGGAGGUUAGAAUAAGCUUUUAGAAGAACUAAUGAACCAAAGGAUAUUGUCCUAAUUUGAAUGACACCUUCAAACUGCAAGAUUUUCAGAAAACUCAUAUCAGCCGGUAUUAUCGUCUGACCAGUUUUGAUGACUACAGUUCUCUAGUUUUUGACACCUGAAUCACUUUUAAAAUACUGUAUAAUAGCUGUGAUAUAUCUACAGGUCUGUACAUAAGUCUUAAGUAUACCGCUUGAUGAAGUAUCACAGAGUGAACAGUUAUAUAGUCAUCAUAUAGAUAGCCAAGAAAUAAAUGUAUUACCUGAGGAACAGAACUACAUCCCCAAAGCUCCCACCAUUACCAAUAUGAUUUUUUCCCCAGGCUUUAUCCUACUAUUUUCCUAAAGGUUUGAUUUCUAACAUUAUAGGUAAACUUUGCCUAUUUUGAGUUUUAUGUAUUCACAUCAGCAGCAUAUAAACAUUCCACUUGCUCCACAUUCCUCUUAGCACUUGGUUUUACUGUGUGUUUUUACUUUAGCCAUUUUAGUGGGUGUGUAGUGAGUGAUACUAGUUAAUAAUUUGCAUUUCCCUGACGACUAAUGAAAUUGAACACUUUUACUAAUGUUGGCAAUUCAGAUAUUCUCAUUUAAAAAGAACCUGUUUAUUUCAUUUUCAUUUUUCUCUCCUUCCUCUCUUCCUCUUUCUUCCCUUCCUUUUAUUUUUCUGUAGAUACCCUGUAUCAGAUUAAGAAGGUAUAUUUCUAAUCUGAUACAUUUUUUUCCUUUUUACCAUGAAUAAUAUUGACAUAUCAAAUGUGUUUUCUGCAAUUCAAAUGGAGGAAUCAUUGACUUUUCUUCUUUAUUCAGUUAACAUGGUGAGUGACUCUGCAUUUCUGGAGUAAAUCUAGUUUGGCUACAUAGUAGUCUUCUUAUAUGUUAGUGGAUUUGGCUUGGAUACUUUAAUGAUCUACACUAAGGAACCGAUAAAACAUUCUUGGAAAAAUUUUUGUACUUUAUGUGAGCUCCUAAAUAGGCUUGAAUACUUUUUUUUUCUUAGAAGGAGUAAAUAUUUUAUCUGCAGUCAUAUUUAUACUGACAGCUUGAUCAGACAUCAUUCUGUUUGGAUAUAAGUGAUAUUGUAGUCUCUUCUGUGGAUGAAAAGCUCAGUGUAUGUAUUUGCAACUUAACUUCUUUGGAAAAACCUUAUUUUCUACUAGAAUAAGAAAAUUUGUACUUGUAUAGACAUUACAGAAAUAUUACUUUAUUAUUUGUCAACUGGAAAAGUUUCUCAUUGACUUAUGUUCUAGGUUUUUUAUGUUCUUUAAUUACAAUUUAAUUAAAUUAACAAUUUAAUGAAUUUAAUAGUGUACAGGGGGCUUUUUACCUCCAUUAUCUAAUUUGAUCUUCACAAUCUUAUGAAAUAUGUAGUUUGUAUUAUUGAAGGUCUCAUGAGGAGAUUUUAUAUUCAAACUGGAGUACAGAUGAUUCUAAAGUCUUUUCUCUCUCCCAAUUUCUUUGAUUCUAACUAAGGCUCAACAUGAACAAUCAGCUUUGAAGAGUCUUUGACAGAGGCUCUUAAAUGUCUUAGAGUAUCUUCUACUUUCUAUAUUAUUAUGACCCUUUUGAAAGGGACCCAGUAUUCCUAGAUCUAGAAUUUAGAAUGCUUGAUGUCAGACUCUGGGAAGAAACACAAAAAUUUAAAGUACUUUGAGACUAUAGAACACCGAGAUUGGUUCUAUACAAUGACUUUGUAACUGUUGCUUAGGACUAUGGAUUGUCAGAGAGAUGAGGUCCAACACCUCCUGUUCUGUUCUCUUCUCUGUGGAAUGUGGCUUGGUGAUGGUUGUAAGAUGGGGAGAUAAAGGUGAAGACUGGAGAAGAUAAUAUACAAUUAGGACAUACAGACUCUUUGUGACAGUUUCCCUUUCUGUGUGAUUUUUGGAGCAGAACUUAGCACACUUCCAUGACAUCCAGCCAGUCAUCUGUAUGUCAAUAAAGUUUCCCAACAUUGUAUGAACCAAAACAGUCUCUGCCUUCUCUAGGCCACCCUGGACCACCAUGCAGACCACUGAGGGAGGGGAUACUAGUAACACCAACAGUUACCCUUACGUUUCAGAUCAGGAAACUCAGAGACUUGUCUGUUCUGCACAGUUAAGAGCUGGGAUUGGCAGUGGAGCUUAGAACCAAGACCUUCUGACUCCAGUCUCUAAAAUCUUAAUUUCGUUUUUAAUAUAAUUUUCAUUGAUCCAUUUGGCAUUUGAUGAGUAUAAGUAUUUGCAUUUUUGCAGGGGAGGGGGUGAAAGAGCAUCAGUAUUUGUUCCUCUAGAUGUCACUAGUUAUUGGUAUCACAGGAGCAUGUCCAACUGGGCUGAUGGAAUUUGCUCAAGCCCUCUUCCUUUCUGGCUUUUGCCUGCUCACAUUUUCAAAAGCAGGAUCCGGGAGUUCCCGUCGUGGUGCAGUGGUUAACGAAUCCAACUAGGAACCAUGAGGUUGCGGGUUCGGUCCCUGCCCUUGCUCAGUGGGUUAACGAUCUGGCGUUGCCGUGAGCUGUGGUGUAGGUUGCAGACGCAGCUUGGAUCCCGCGUUGCUGUGGCUCUGGUGUAGGCCGGUGGCUACAGCUCCGAUUGGACCCCUAGCCUGGGAACCUCCAUAUGCCGCGGGAGCGGCCCAAGAAAUAGCAACAACAACAACAACAACAACAAAA